GGAGCCGUUCGAGAGACAGCUGGCUUAAACCAAAAGUAAAAGCAAAUUAAACCAGAGACCUCGGCCGAGGAAUGAGUAAACUAAAUCAAGGAUUAAAGCUUAAAGCAACAGGACAUUAAAUCAAGUGCCGAGACCUGCGCAGACGACUACCCGACGUCCUGCCCGAGUCACGGUGACACAUCUCCCUGGAGCCUUAUGCUGCUUAACCAGCCUUCUUGAGCCACACCACACCCAUGGUGGAUUUUGACCCCUGCCAAACAGACUGCAACUGCUGACAGCCAUGCACAGAACCCCAUGACUGCGAAAGAGGCUCUUCUCGGUCUAGAGAAACAUACACCAGCCAAAUAGACUGCAUCCAGUGUUAUACAAGGCAUGCUCCAAGACACAGGAGAAUGACUUCAUACAGAGACACCAACAAAUGGCUGUCAACCCCUUCUCCUUGAUUUUGGUGGGGGGAGUUUUUCCCUUACCUAAUGCCCCUUUUGGGUCCCCUAGCUGACCUAUUGUUUCUCAUUUCUGUGAGUCUUGUAUUUUUCAGAGGAUUAUGAUGUUCAUUAAUAACUGGAUAGACACAUUUAUGGCAAAGCCCAUUCAGGUACACUAUCAUCAGCUGGAGUUGGCAGAUCAACAAACCUACAGGGAAGGAAUUCCCACGAGUGGCCCAUAUGAUGAUGCGGCCUGACUGCCCUGGGGCAAUGGACAGGCAGUCAGAGACGGGCAACUAGGACAUGCAUGUUAAUUCCAACGGCCGCCUAAGACAGACACAGGACCAACUGCUGUUCUACAAGCCCAUGACGGGUAAGGCCUGGUUGGGUUCAUACAAUGAGGUCCUUGACCUAAGACAGACGCUGUCCUCACAGGGCCUGCCAUACUCUUAAUUAAAUAAUAUAAAAAGGGAGGAGAUGUAGGGAGCCGAGUGACAGGCAUUGGUGCCUAGAUGUCUCUCUCUCUCUCUCCUAUGGGCACUGCGUCUGCCUACAUUAACCAUAAUCCUCUUCUGCUUACGUCACUUAUCCGGAUGUGAUGGUAACCCUGUUGUAUUCAUCUGUUUAACCUCUUCCUGUCCCAGCUCCCGCCCUUAGCCUAUAAAAGGUGUGAUUAUUUUCUCAAUAAACCGGAGGCUUGAUUGGGUUAACAUCAA
Molecule: long non-coding RNA, 1141 nt
Organism: Cavia porcellus (domestic guinea pig)
Lineage: Eukaryota; Metazoa; Chordata; Mammalia; Rodentia; Caviidae
Exons: 2
Source: RefSeq, a predicted model, not a curated record